GACGGAGGAUGCAAGCGUUAUCCGGAAUGAUUGGGCGUAAAGCGUCCGCAGGUGGCAGUUCACGUCUGCUGUCAAAGACCGGGGCUUAACUUCGGAAAGGCAGUGGAAACUGAACAGCUAGAGUAUGGUAGGGGCAGAGGGAAUUCCUGGUGUAGCGGUGAAAUGCGUAGAUAUCAGGAGGAACACCGAUAGCGAAGGCAGCUCGCUGGGACGGUACUGACGCUGAGGUGCGAAAGCGUGGGGAGCGAACGGG
Molecule: ribosomal RNA, 253 nt
Filed under: uncultured bacterium
Lineage: Bacteria
Description: partial 16S ribosomal RNA
Rfam family: Bacterial small subunit ribosomal RNA
Source: RNAcentral